Molecule: ribosomal RNA, 468 nt
Filed under: uncultured bacterium
Lineage: Bacteria
Description: partial 16S ribosomal RNA
Rfam family: Bacterial small subunit ribosomal RNA
Source: RNAcentral
GACGGACGCUGGCGGCGUGCUUAACACAUGCAAGUCGAACGGAAAGGCCCUGCUUUUGUGGGGUGCUCGAGUGGCGAACGGGUGAGUAACACGUGAGUAACCUGCCCUUGACUUUGGGAUAACUUCAGGAAACUGGGGCUAAUACCGGAUAGGAGCUCCUGCUGCAUGGUGGAGGUUGGAAAGUUUCGGCGGUUGGGGAUGGACUCGCGGCUUAUCAGCUUGUUGGUGGGGUAGUGGCUUACCAAGGCUUUGACGGGUAGCCGGCCUGAGAGGGUGACCGGCCACAUUGGGACUGAGAUACGGCCCAGACUCCUACGGGAGGCAGCAGUGGGGAAUAUUGCACAAUGGGCGGAAGCCUGAUGCAGCAACGCCGCGUGCGGGAUGACGGCCUUCGGGUUGUAAACCGCUUUCGCCUGUGACGAAGCGUGAGUGACGGUAAUGGGUAAAGAAGCACCGGCUAACUACGUG